UCUCUGUGAUGGUGAAAACAUAUGUAAAGUCCGAUGGUCAGAUCCGUUCUAUUACACCAUGUAGACAACCGAGACGUUUGUGUGGAGAGAA
This is a small nucleolar RNA of Lolium rigidum, 91 nucleotides long. The record is from RefSeq and is a predicted model, not a curated record. Lineage: Eukaryota; Viridiplantae; Streptophyta; Magnoliopsida; Poales; Poaceae.